UCUCAAUCUUGUUCCCUGUGUGAAUUUUCAUUGGAGACUGGACAAUUGGACAGUUAUGAAUUGCAAAUCGUGUUUAUUGGAGUUCAUGAAAGGCAAAGUUUACAGAAUUCAACAAAGGUAUAAUUUCUAUCACACUUUCUAUCUAAAUAGAAAACCGAUCAUUGGUAGAAAUUGAAAUUUUAUUUAAAUUCUGCUAUGCAUGGUUAAGUAAAUUUCCAAUAUGGUAAACUAUAAGUAUGUUUUAACCACACCAAACUUUAGGUAGCAUCACGUUUUACUCACUGUACUUUAACUUGCAUUACAUUACUCACUGAACUUUAUACCGUUGCACUCCAUUACUCACCAAGUAACUCCCGUCAUUAACCACUGCACACAUGGAUGAUGGAUUUUACAGCUAGCAGUUAAAUGCCAUGUAAUUUCUCCUAAACGUGCCUCACCCGAAAAUCAAUUGACAUCAUGAGAUGAAACCCUUAUGUCAAAUGCAUGACCUCCAUCAGCCAUUGCAGAAACACCUCCCAAAUCUCAAAAUUCGGAAUCGCCUUGAACCCUAAUCCCCACUUCAAAUUUGAUCCACAAUCAACGGACCUCGAAGCGUGGUUGUUGAAACCGUAGACAUGAAUAGAGCACCUCAGUUUGUUGACACUCGAAUUGAAAUGGGUUCCAAUUUUUGAAGUACAUUUCAUUUUUCUUACAACUUAAGAAAAAUGAAAUGAACUUCGAAAAUUGGAACACAUUUCAAUCCAAGUGUUAGCAAACAAAGGUGCUCUAUCAAUGUCUACGAUUUCAACAAUCACGCUUUAAAUGAACUUCGAAAAUUGGAACACAUUUCAAUUCGAGUGUUAGCAAACAAAGGUGCUCUAUCAAUGUCUACGAUUUCAACAAUCACGCUUUGAGGUCCAUCAAUUGUGGAUCGAAUUCGAAUUGGGGGUUGGGGUUCAAGGUGAUUUCGGAUUUUGAGAUUUGGAAGGUGUAUCUGCAAUGGGUGAUGGAGGUCGUUCAUUUGACACGAGGGUUUUAUCUCACAACUUCAAUUGUUUUUUGGGCGAGGCGUGUUUCUUUGGUGUUCGGGAAAAAUGACAUGGCAUUUAACUGCCACCUGUAAAAUCCGUCCUCCAUUUGUGCAGUAAUUAAUGAUGGGAACGAGUGCAACGGUAUAAAGUUCAGUGAGUAAUGGAGUCAGUGGCGGAUCUAGGUCAUGGCGAGCUAGGGCGAUCUGCCAGAGUUUUCAAUAGCCGUCAGGACCACCGAAUUGGAGUUGCAAUCUCCAAGUAUUUUUGGGUGCUGUUAUUGUUGUAUCUACAUAAAAUGAACAGGCAUGUAUACAUACACAAAACACACAGAGAGAAAACUCACCAUUUUUUAUUUUCUUGGGCUUGUUGAUGGGUAGCAGAUCCUUGCCAUUAGAGGAAUUAAAGCCCCGGAACUCACAAAUUGUAUCAAAUUCAGCCCAUAAUUCUUCUAUGGUUAAUUUUCCUCUCUUAUUGAUGAUGGGUUCAGGAAAUAAUUGCAUUUUGUGUAUGUGUUCAGUUCUUGAGAUUUGAGAAGAUGAUAGAUACAGAAAGAAAUGUGUAUGUCAGUAUGAGUAGGUCGUUG
RNAcentral lists this long non-coding RNA (1593 nucleotides) under Olea europaea subsp. europaea. Lineage: Eukaryota; Viridiplantae; Streptophyta; Magnoliopsida; Lamiales; Oleaceae. The record is from RNAcentral.